Molecule: small RNA, 126 nt
Filed under: Marmota monax (woodchuck)
Lineage: Eukaryota; Metazoa; Chordata; Mammalia; Rodentia; Sciuridae
Source: RNAcentral
GCUGGGCACUGUGGCGCAUGCCUGUAAUCACAGCAACUCCUGAGGCUGGGGCAGGAGGAUCUCAAGUUCAAACCCAGCACUUAGCAAAAGUGAGGCGCUAAGCAACUCAGUGAGACCCUGUCUUUA